UGGGUAACCUGCCUCAAAGAGGGGAAUAGCCUCCCGAAAGGGAGAUUAAUACCGCAUAAUAUGUUUAAGUCGCAUGACUUUAACAUCAAAGGAUUUUCUUUUAGAAAUUCCACUUUGAGAUGGACCCGCGGCGCAUUAGCUAGUUGGUGAGGUAACGGCUCACCAAGGCAACGAUGCGUAGCCGACCUGAGAGGGUGAUCGGCCACAUUGGAACUGAGACACGGUCCAGCUCCGUAGGG
This 239-nucleotide ribosomal RNA is filed under the name uncultured bacterium. RNAcentral's name for it is "partial 16S ribosomal RNA". It matches the Rfam family "Bacterial small subunit ribosomal RNA", at positions 118 to 345 of the family's 1533-position model. The record is from RNAcentral.